This 15113-nucleotide long non-coding RNA is filed under the name Ananas comosus (pineapple). RNAcentral describes it as "long non-coding RNA (ACOM_LNC000841)". The record is from RNAcentral. Lineage: Eukaryota; Viridiplantae; Streptophyta; Magnoliopsida; Poales; Bromeliaceae.
GUUCCAACCAGGAACACAUUCAAUCAAAGAUUGCAUAAGGAAGUAUCAAAAUAUAACACAUCCUAUAUUAUUACAUGUAUUCACAUUCAUAUACUUUUACAUCACAAUUCUCAUUUGAAUCUUACACUAGCUUUCACUUAUCUUCCAAAUACAAUCCGAUUUAACAUGAUAAUUACAAAUUAUUACAAUCUUAUUCCUUUCAUUUUCUUACAUCCCUAAGUAAAGCCGACUCAGGGUACCGCUAUCUCUGGUCUCGGUGGUAGGGCGCUAACUAUGAUGCUACGCCCUCGCCUCGCGCCGCCGCGCCGCUCACGUGUGAACCUGUAACACCCCAAAACCACGUGGGGUGAGAACCAACUCCAUGGUUCCCAGUGGGUACGGCCACCCAAGGGAAAAGCUCGACCAAUAGGUCCAAGGGAGGCAACUGCAAGUUAGUUCAAUAAACAGAUAGAUAUAUAUCUUGAUUAUGCAACGAAUAAAACCAUGCAUUGCCUCACGAAUGCAAUAAUGCAAUGCUAUAUGCAAAUCAUGCAAUAAUGCAACUAUGCAACCAACUAGUAGUUCAUUCGAUACUACUUUCAAUUCUGCUAACCAUAGCUCAUCCAUUUGAUAUCUAAGGUUUCCUCUAUCUUAGAUUCUUGUCAAUCACCGUUUUAAUCAUAAAGUUUCAUCUACCUUUACAAGGCUAACCACCCGACUCGGUCUUGAGUCAAUCGUCUGCGGAGUACCGCACUAGAACCAGGCUCGAGGCGAUGGACGUCUCACAUACACCUCAGCCCUAAAUCCUCUCGACUGGGAUACCAAAUCCAUAACUCAUAAUGCAUACUUGUUGUACAUUCAUUUGGCUAUGACCCAAUCUUACCGGUUAACCAUGUUAACCCCAAUAACUCACAACCAAAAUCCCUUAAUAACGGGGGACUCGAACCUCCCUGGGGACCGUCAUCUGGGGGGACUUUACCACGCCCAGUGGUGACCAACUCCGGAGCGCACCGCCCGAGGGGGAGCUACCUCCCUCAAGCCAAGACGUAACGUGAGUAUCGAUCCAAUCCUCAACUUGAGGAUUCAUAGCCACUCGUCACAAUGCCAUUGUCAUAAUAGGUUUUCUACCUAUUUAAUCAUGCCACUCUCUAUGUCAACUUGGACCAAUGUCAAUAUGGUUAAACUAUGUUUAACAACCACUUUCUUGAUGCCAAUCAUGUCUCUAUUUUCAUUGUCACCCUUGUUUACUAUUGUCCAAGUCCGACUUAUGUUCUUUAACAAUAGGUUUAAUGCCACACAUGAUUCCAACCUAAGUUCUUUGACACUAGGUUCAUGUCCAACCUAUGUUUAUUCACACUAGGUUCAUAUCAUCCAUGUUCAACCUAGGUUCCUGACUCUAGGUUAAGUGCCACUCGAUCUAAUAUAUAGAUGUCCAAUGUCAAGGUCUCUAUCAUAGAGUUAUCGAUCCAAUUCAUGCAAUCAUUUAGCAUUUACAUAGCAUAUUCAUCAUGCAUUCUACGAUAAUUAUUAUAUAGCAACCAUACCAAGCAUUUGCCUAGCUUUUACAUCAUGUCAUUUACAUGCAUUCUUUUAAUGUUAACUACAUGCAUCCUCUCAAUGCCAACAUACAUUACAACUAGCAUGUACUUUCCUAAUGCCUUAUUAUGCAAUUAUCCUGUAGUAUGCAUUUUCAUAAUGUCAAUAUGCUUAUUGUCAUCUAACAUGUGUCCACAUUUAGCAAUUUCUCAUAUAAUUAACAACAUGUUAACAUUCAUUUAUAUGCUCACGUUCUCUAAUGCAUGUCAACAUGAAUCUCAUAAUGCUAAAUACCCCUAGCAUGUAUUUCACUAAGCAUACAUACUAAUAUGCAAAUUACCAACUAGUAUGCAUUUAUACAAUGCUAAUAUGCCGUAUGCACAUACACAUAUGCAUCAACAAAAUUCCACAUUUCGCUUUGACAUGCGGGGUGACCAAGUCGCUUCGGUAAAAACAACCCACCUCAUUUCGCAUUCCGAUUGCUUGUCGACACUCGCAAUCGGCCUCCCGCGGCACCCGGCACCCGGUUUGGCCCGAUCUCUUGCGCGACCACCCGAACGGCCUCCAAUUCAUGAUCCGAAAAUUAAAGGUCUUUGGUUAUGUGCCACGAUGCCUCAAAUCCGUUUUCAUGAAUUUACGAUAUCGCCUCGGCCCUCCAGUCGAAAACGAACCCUAAACAUCCGUUUCUUUAGUAACUUCGCAACGGCUCGACGAAUCGCCGAACCGUCUUCGCCAACGCAUUCGUUUACCUAGCAAUUAGGUUUACAUAGGGUCAAAUGAGAUCAAACCCUCAUAUUUACCAAAUUAGUAUUUUUGAGCCCUAGAUUACAACUAGGUAAAAAUCCACCAUUAGAGCCUUGAUUUCAAGCAUCAAUCCUCUAAUUAGCAUGCUAGAAUACCUCUAAACCCAUUUCUAAAGUAUUUAAACCAACCAUUAAGGAUCUACCAUUAAAGGGUAGCAAAAGCUUACCUCUCAAUUAGCUCCAAACCAGGGAGAAGAUGAAGAAGAUGAAGGCGAUCCAUCUCCAAGCUUCAAUCUCCACCAAUUUCAUCAAUUUUGGGAGAGAAUUAGAGAGAGAAAAGAGAGGUUUCUCCUUUCCUUUCCAUGCGUGUGUUGUGUGUGUGCGUGCGGGUGUGUGCGGCUGAAGGAGGGGAAGAAGAAGCACAUGCUUCUUAUAUACAUUACACCCCAAAACACUAUUCACUUCAGGCAGUUUUUGCAGUUCGGAACAGUUGGAGCCCUUCUGAAUGUCCGUUUGAGCUCAAAUUUGACAGGCAGGCUCAGUUUAACGUACUGAGUAAGAAUAUAUUUUAAGUUUUCAGUUUCGACCCCAUUUGGUCACCGAAAACUGUGCCGAACUGUAAUCUUUAUCAGAUAACUCUCGGAUUUUAUUUCUCACUCUACGGGUGUCAGAAAAAUAUGAAACUUUAAAUCUAGCCUCAUAAAAAUAUUUCUGACUUAUCCUCCAAUUUUCAUAAUUUUCUGAGACUGUGCAUUUUCUGCUAAUUUAUCUGUCCCGUUUCCAACAGAAAAUUCUAAAUUUUCUGUUUUCAUUCCGAUUUCAGCACAAGUCAUUUCUGACUUAUGUUUUACUUCUACAAAUCCAAUAAAAAUAGUUUCUCACACUAUUUUUAUUUAUUUUUAUUUUUAUACCAAAAUCUGGUAUGUUGCAGUAGCGGUAUGGGCUUAACACUUGGACUAGGGAGGCAUGCGGAUUGGGUCUUGAGACAAAGAAUCCUAUAGUGGCAAAAAUGAUGAACUUGGACAUAGCCUAAUAGAGGGGCAUUUAACUAGUAUAGUAGAGAUACUAAACUUGAACGAGUGGCAUGUCAACUAGUUAGAAGAUAUUACUACAACGACUGAACGAGUGGCAUCGAGUCUAGUGUAGUAACCGUAACAUGGUUCUUGGGAUAGUAGAGGUCCCGGCAUCUAGGAUGCAUUGUAUAUUGUGCAGCAGAGGUACAUUGACCCUAAUAGAUAGGGUAUCAUCUUGAGAGGAUUGGAUCAUACUCACUAGUCUCUUUUCGCUUGUCGGUGGUCGCUCCACCGAGGCACGAGUCUCCGGAGUACUUCACUAGGGGCAUACGUAGUUGUCCCGCAGACGGUCUCGGUGUGCGAGUGUAGCUUCUCAUCACCUAUGAGAUUGAGAGUGAGUCGAAGGUUUAACCUACGGGUUAGCCAAGUAGAUUGGGUAAUAAACAUGGAAUGCAUAGUAGAUUUGCAUUAUUACCUUGAGUAGACAUAGUGUAUGUUGUAGAUUGUAUUGCUAUGUACUUUUAUAUACUCAUGACAUGAUACUAGCAUGAUAGUAGUUGUUGCAUGCAUUGUUAUCAUUGGUGGCAUGAUAGAGUAGUUGUAGUUUUUUCUUUAUAUAUCUAUCUAUCUCUCUAUCUGUGCCAGCUUAGACCGAGUGGAAAAACCGGCGGCGUCGGCGGCCGAACCCACUGGAAACUAUAUUUAUAUAGUUCUCAUCCCAUGUGGUUUUGGGGUACAGGUACACACAGGGGCGAGCCGAGCGAGGAUCGCGGUAAGGGCAUAGCGCCCUAAGUGAACUUAGUUAGUAGCUUUUCCUUAUGCAUAUAGAGUACCCUCGUGUACUAGAAGAUGUAUAAUUUGGAUAGAUAUCGGAGAGCUACUUAUAUUUUGAGAAGAACAUGUAAUUACAUUUUGGAAGAUGAAAAUGUAAUGUAAUCAAAUGAUGUAAAAAUUGAAUGGUUGUAAUAGUUAGACUACCUCUUUUUAUACACUUGUAUUUUACUUGUGGCUCUUGCUCUUAGCUAUAUUGCACUUGUGUGCAUAGUAUUGAUCAUGUAUGUUAUUUAAGCAAAUUCCUGGGCGCUUAAUUGUACUUGAUCAGGUUGUUUGGCCUUGGGCGGACAUGGGAGGUCCUGUCCGUUCGGCGGUCCGCUCGGCGCGCCCGAACGGCCCCAAAUUGGUAGUAGAUUCGGGGCGGGGCGUGACAAACCUAGUGGUGUAAUUUGCCGAGGCUGGCGGCUUACCCACUGGGAACUAUUGUUUAAUAGUUCUCAUGCCCCUUUGUUGUUGUUUUUAUAGAGCCAUCCACUGCGGGAGAGGCUAGGGAUCGCGGCAAGGGAGUCGCGUCUAGCUAGGCAUAGCGUGGAGUCCCACUAGGUGAUCACCUCGCCGCUUGAUUUUGGACUGUCGAGGGUGAUGUACACCAGUUUAUAGAGAGACUACCUUUGUAUAUAGUUUUUGAGGCAACCUUGUGAUAUAUAUGUUGGCCUAGAAUGUUGUAUUUAUAAUUAUGGCUUUCCUGCUUGUUGAGUUUUUGGGAUUUAGACUUACUCUUUUCUCGUUGAUAGUAUUGUUGGUUCAUACUUUGCUCUGAUAUCCUGUUAGAAUCUCUGCAAGAUCCUUCAUUUCUUGAACUUGGUUUUUGUAGACGUCUUAUAUACUAGAGGCAUAUGACGGGUCUGUGCACGUACCGGCUAUGCUUCCGUUGAUACCUGGGCAUGACAGAUUAUAGUGGUAUCAGAGCCUAGGGUUGAGUCUUAGUGGACCUAGCGAACCUUAGGCUGGUUCGACUAUAGGGAUAGGCACGUGAGAGACGAUGUCUAUUUAAUGUUAUAGCGAAAGUAUUUUGAUUGGGUAUCUUCUAAACUCCAAAUGGUUGGGGUUGAUUGAAAUGUACAACUACUAACUUUGCAGAGGGCCACGUUGGCGGCCGACAACGUGAUAUCGGAAGUUAGUAUGUGUCACAUUUCAUUAUUUUCGCAUGAUUGGGUGGUUUAUAAUAUUGAGUGGGGUUUCGAUAGUGUGAGGUUAAUAACUUACGCUUAUUCUGUUUAUUGCAGUUCAGUAUGCCUUCGACUCGUUCUAGGACUGCCGGAGCAGCUGAGGCGGCUGAUGUGGAAGAAGUGGAGACUUCCGUUACUUCCGGAUCUAGUGAGGUCCGUGAGUUGCAGGAUCAGCUUGCGAUGCUGACAAAUUUGGUGACUCAGCAGGCUGCGGCAGCGCGACAACAGAUGGAUGCUGCACGCCGACAGGAGGAAAGGAUGAAGCGGUUAGAGGAUUUAUUACUGCGGCAGACGACGGAUAGAGAGAUUCCCGAUCCUAUGCCGACAGUAUCAGAAAGGGACAUGAUAGUGAGGGCACAGUCACCAGUACCAGAUAUCUCACUAGCAGCUCCGAGGGUAGAGACCCGACAGGAGGCAGUAGUACCACCACCCGUGCAUGUGGCUGUGAUAGGGACAGUGUUACCUGAGAUGGUGGGGGUUGAGGAGCAAGAGUGAAUGAUGGAACGACUGAAUGAAUUUCGUUGUUGCAAUCCCCGUAUUUUCGAUAGUGAAAAAGCUGACCAUUGGGUAGUCAAGAAAUGGUUGAUGCAUAUGGAGAAGCUAUUCUAUGAUACUUUUGUUGAGGAGCAAUACCGAGUCUGGUUUGCGGCACACCAUUUGGAUGGCGAGGCCUACAGGUGGUGGAUGGACAUCCGUGAGGAUCCCGGUGCUGAUUUGUCUGCUAUUACAUGGAAAAGGUUCAAGGAAUUAUUGUUGACGACUUACUUUCCGCAAAGUGUAAAGAGGCAGAUGGAAAGGGAUCUACGAAAUUUGAGACAUGAAGGCAAGACAGUGGCAGAAUAUGAGCGAGAGUUCUCCCGAUUACUGCAUUGCGUUCCUUUUGUGGUUAGAGAUGAUGAGGACAAGGCUCGUAUUUUUGAGGUAGGGUUGCGACCUCCGAUCUUCAGGUUGGUUCAGGCGUCCAACCUAUCGACUUACAGGGAGGUAGUGAACCAGGCACUAAUUAUUAAAAAAGGGGCGGAAAUUAUGAAGGAAAGAGAGCUUGUGGAUCGAAGUAAAGCUAAAAGACCAGUGGCUGAGAGUAGUGGUCAGCAAUCCUUCAGGAGACCGCCGAAGUACCCGAGAGGCCAGUUGAGCCAGUCGAGGGGUCGAGGUUCUUCAGCACCCCAUGGAGUGCCCGAGCGUCGUCGACAGCCACGUUGUGUCAUCUGUGGUGGGCCUCACUUUCCGCCAUAGUGUCCACAACGUGGGGGCAAGUGUUUUUUCUGCGGUCAGGAGGGCCACUUUCGUUCAGAGUGCCUGAGAGGUUCUUCACCUGCACCGUCAUCAGCAUCAGCACCUGUAUCUUCAGCCCCGAGUCAGGGAACUCCGUCAGCACCGUAUCAGUUUAGGCGACCACCUAGACAGUGGCAAUCUGAGAGUUCUCGGCAGGGUUCGAGUGGACGUAUGUACGCCGCUCAGACAGAGGAGGCCGCAGCAGCAGAGGAGGUCGUAGCAGGUAUCAUUAUGAUUUAUAAUGUUCGUGUUCGUGCAUUAUUUGAUACUGGUGCUUCGCAUUUUUUAUUGACUGGCUGUUUGCCGAAUUGCAUAGCAUUCAGUUAGUACCUACUUUGCAUCCGGGACGAGUGAUUGUGCCCGACCAUACCCUGGAUGUUCGUGAGUUUUGCCCUCGCUGCCCUGUUCGGAUAGGCGACUGGAUUAUGCCGGAUUUGUUAGCACUACACAAACUAGGUGAGUUUGAUGUAGUAUUGGAUAUGGAUUGGUUGGCACAAUAUUAUGCCACCAUUGAUUGCAUGAACAGAACGGUGACCUUUAGGGAACCGGGUCAGUAGGAGUUUGUUUAUAAGGGGUGUUAGAGUUCAUUGUUUGCAAUGACAAUUAGCUCUUCGCGAGCACGACAGUUGAUACGGAGAGGUUGUGUGGCCUAUUUGGCUAGUAUUUCUGUGAAUGAUGGAGAAGCCGCCAAGAUUGAUGUUUUUCCGGUUGUGCGGGAAUUCGAGGAUGUGUUUCCAGCUGAGUUGCCUGGUAUGCCGCCUGAUAGGGAAGUUGAGUUUGUGGUAGACCUUGUCCCUGGGACUAUCCCAAUCUCAAAGGCACCCUAUAGGAUGGCCCCUGCCGAAUUGAAAGAGCUGAAGGCACAAUUGCAAGAUCUUUUAGAUAAGGGCUUCAUUCGACCGAGUGUGUCACCCUGGGGAGCACCGGUAUUGUUUGUUAAGAAGAAAGAUGGAUCUCUUCAAUUAUGUGUGGAUUAUCGAGAAAUUAACAAAGUCACCAUCAAGAAUAAAUAUCUAUUACCCAGAAUUGAUGAUUUAUUCGAUCAACUGCAAGGAUCGAAAGUAUAUUCCAAGAUUGAUUUGCAAUCAGGGUAUCAUCAGCUCAAGAUCAAGCUGAAGAUGUUUCCAAGACUGCUUUUAGGACACGGUAUGGGCAUUAUGAAUUCACAGUUAUGCCAUUUGGAUUGACAAAUGCCCCAGCAGCCUUUAUGGAUUUAAUGAACCGUGUCUUCAAGCCCUAUUUGGAUAGGUUUGUAGUCGUGUUCAUCGACGAUAUCUUGAUCUAUUCUUGAAGUGACGAGGAGCAUGAAAACCAUUUAAGAUUGGUGUUGCAAGUAUUGCAAGAAAAGAAACUGUUUGCAAAGUUAAAGAAAUACGAAUUUUGGCUUCGAGAAGUGGCAUUUCUGGAACAUGUAAUUUCAGAAGCCGGGAUAGCUGUGGAUCCAAAGAAGAUUGAAGCGGUUAAAGAUUGGCCUAGGCCGACCAGUGUUACAGAGAUUCGGAGUUUCCUUGGUUUGGCGGGAUACUACCGAAGGUUUAUAGAAGGGUUUGCGAAAAUGUCUACUCCUCUCACUCGACUCACACAUAAAGGAGCUAAGUUUCUGUGGAAUGAGGCCUGUGAAAGAAGCUUUCAAGAGCUAAAGGAACGGCUGACCACCGCCCCGAUUCUAGCACUACCUGUUACUGGGGUGGAUUAUGUGAUUUACAGUGAUGCGUCACUGAAUGGAUUGAGGUGUGUUCUAAUGCAGACUGGCAGAGUAAUUGCUUAUGCAUCUCGCCAAUUAAAGGAUUAUGAAAAAAGCUACCCUACGCAUAAUCUCGGAUUGGCUGCUGUAGUCUUUGCUUUAAAGCUUUGGCGCCACUACCUCUAUGGCGAGUAUUGCGAGGUUUACACAGAUCAUAAAAGCUUAAAGUAUCUGUUUACUCAGAAGGAAUUAAACUUGAGACAACGCAGAUGGUUGGAGUUGCUCAAGGAUUAUGAUUUGACUAUUCUCUAUCACCCAAGAAAAGCUAACGUUGUAGCAGAUGCUUUAAGUCGAAAAUUGACGAAAAAUUUGGCGAUGUCGACAACCGCGCAACCACUUUUGGUAAAGGAAAUGGAACAGUUGAAUUUGGAAGUAGUGGCUCCUGACACUCCUUGGCGACUUAUGUCAUUGGUUGUACAAUCUACCCUGAUUGAUCGAAUUAAAAAAAAGCAAGCUCAAGAUGAAUUUUUGCAAAAAAUUCGAGCAAAGAUCAUUGUUUAUUAUGUUUGUGACUUUCGAGUGGAUGAUCAGGGGCUGUUAAAAUUCUGCAACCGACUUUGUGUACUAACAGACUCAGAUAUUAAAGAGAAAAUUUUAAAAGAAGCACAUCGGGCACCGUAUACUUUACAUUCUGGAAGUACGAAAAUGUAUAAAAAUUUGAAGUCGACUUAUUGGUGGCCUAGAAUGAAAAAGAAGGUUGCAGACUUCGUAGUUAAGUGCUUAACCUGUCAACAGGUUAAAGCUGAGCAUCGACUUCCAGUAGGAAAGCUUCAGAGUUUACCCAUACCCGUGUGGAAGUGGGAGAGGAUUACUAUGGAUUUUAUUGUUGGAUUACCUCGCUCACAAGCAGGCCAUGAUGCGAUUUGGGUGAUUGUGGACAGAUUGACCAAAUCUGCCCACUUUAUUCCGAUUCAUACGGUUUGAUCAGGAGAGAGACUCGCACAAGUGUACCUUGAUGAAAUUGUGUGAUUACACGGAGUACCUGCCUCUAUUGUUUCAGAUCGCGAUACCCGAUUUGUAUCACAUUUCUGGAGGAAUUUAUAGGAUGCUUUGGAUACGCGGUUGGAUUUAGUACUGCUUUCCACCCCUAGAGUGACGGGCAGUCUGAGCGUACCAUCCAAACCCUUAAGGAUAUGUUGCGGGCCUGUGUGAUUGAUUUCCAGGGCAGUUGGCCAUAGUUCCUACCUAUGGCAGAAUUUGCUUAUAACAAUAGUUAUCAAGCGAGUAUUCAAAUGGCUGCGUCCUCACCCAACGUGUCUUCAACACUUCCAUUUUCCCCGUCCUCCUAGGGGCUGUUCCCUCUAUCCCUUGACUGGUUAUACCCGUUAUUUGGGUCGACGUGUGGAGGUGCAAGUGGACCUUGAUUCGCUUCAUCGACCGCCCUCUCCCAGCUCUCGAGAUGUACUAUUAUUGAGAAAACUUCCUCCCUAAGCACGAUGGAGAGGUUCUGUGGGAUGUCGGUGAGAGAAUCAAGGGUGAUCUGGCAUCUGAAAACUCGGAGGUUCGUCACCGCCUUGGUGGUCGCAUCCGCCUUCUCAAACCGUCCGAAUCGACUCACCAAGGCCGCCACUCUGGCCACCGUCCAGCACUCGAAUGGCAAAUUGAUCAGCCUGAUCCAAGCACAGAAGGUUACUCUGUGGGGUCUUGCGUUGCUGCAUUGUCCCCAAGGGUAACAUCUGAUCCAAAAGUCCUCGAAGGUGAGCACUUUUCUUCUAACAAGCACCGCCGCAGAGACCCACUCCGGUAAGAAGAUCGCAUAAUCGCUCUCUCUAAAUCGCGCGACAGCGAAGUCCUGGCUGUACCCCCUUUACCAGCGAGCUAAUGCGCUCGCAAUGGUGCGGGUAGAGUUCAGUCCAAGAUUUGCUGGCUGGAUCACGUCCGUGAGGACUGCGUUACGUCGCAGCUCUCUUCUGCGAGAGUAUUCCUCUGUAUACAGCACGUACACCUUCGCUGGCUGAGUGCGCCCCUGCUGGCGGUAAGCUUUGUUCAUCUUGUCACUGGCCCUAAGAACUUUACUCUUGCAGGUGGAAGCUUGAUGUCCAAGCUUUCGGCAGCUUAGACACCUGGCAGGGUCGCGGCACUCAGCGAUCCUGUUAUUCGAAGCUAAACACCUGAAGCAUCUCCUUGCAAGACUCCCGCUGAGAAGUCUCUGAGGAAAUAGGCAAGCGUUGUUAAGAUUAUGCUGAGAGUUGCAAUAGAGAGGGGGUGGUGAUGGUUUCCUUAGCAGCGCUUCCUUAUAGGACCCAAUGGGUGGGCUGAGGGAGUUAAUACGCCCUCCCUCUGGUUUGCUAUAAACCCCCCCUUGGAACCUAAGGAAGUAGACCUAACCCUGCCUUGUUGAGACGGAGCAUUAACACCAGUCCUCUGGACGCCUUUCAAGCUCUUACCAAAGCCAAGUAUAGUCACUGCGUCUUCAGCAUAAAUGCUUUUGGAUUCCACUAACGCUCUACCUACCUCAUCCGCCCAGGCCACGUGUUUCACUACAUUCUUCUUCCUCGGAUCGUCUCUUUUCUUGGAUUGGACCUCAAAUCUUGGAGUAAUGCGGCCAUCAUCUCCAUCGUGCUUUUUCCCCAUCGUUUUUUGCUGGGAAGAAGUGGUGAGCUGUUGCUCCAAAUCCUGCAUCUUCUUCUUCCUCUCCAAGGAGUCCUUAUCCUCCUCCACCACGGGAGGCUUCGCCCCGCCCCAGUUGUUCGCCACCGACUGCUUUAGCUCCUUGAAUAUCCGGAGCAAGUCCCUUCCACCCUUCAUGUGGUGCACCGCCUCCUGCGGUGGCAGGGUUCGCGCCGCCCCGUCCAUCACCCUCUUGGGCACCUCCAGGAAUGUACGGAGCUCCUCGCCCCACCCAAUUGCGGGGUGCGCGGCGAGCCGCCGAAGGUAGCGCUUGAGCAAGGCACGGCGCCACUAUCGGCUGGCGACGAGGUAGUUGACGCAGACCCCGCUCGCGUCCUGCUUCUUCUGCGGCUUGGAGACAGCGAUCGGGACGUAAUCGACGGGCGCUACGGCGAUAUCCGCGGCGGGGCCUUAGGAUUGGAAGGGGCUGGGGACGACAUCGACGUAGGAAGGGGGUGAGGAGGGGGAGACAGGGUAUGGGGGAAGCGGAGGGAGCGAGUGAGCGGGAUCGACGCCUCCAUCAGCGUUGCCGGAGAAGGAGGAGAUAUUACUGCGGUAAUCAGAGAGGGCUAGGGUUUCUAUGCUCCGUAGGAGUCGAAAUCGACCUUUAAAACCCUAAAAUCUCCCCAAAUUUGCCCUUAGAGAAUUUUAUCAUGUCGUAGACGUAUGAAAUAUUAUUGGAGUAAAUUUUAUAUAAGCAAAGAAAAAACACAAGUAAUGUGAAGUUUGCAUGUAAUGGUUCAUCCUAAAUUGUUAUAAUUGAAUUUGUACGAACAAAAUUUAACAUUUAAGUUUCGUAUAUUAACUCUAGUUGUUGAUGAUUAUUGGGCCGUUGCCGUAGAGUUAAAUCCUAUCCUCACCCUUACAUGUGAAAUGAGUAAAAUUAAAGAAUGUUCUGCAUCGUAAGUUAAUCAAACAGAGGAUUUUUCACGAAUAAUCCAUGCAAGAACACACUCCCUCUCUGAAAUGAUGGAAUUUGUUGUUAUCUCUAAUUGUAAUUUCUCGCUCAUAGACCGUAGAUACAACCUUCAUGAACGAGUGACAAUCAACGCAAAUCCUCAGGUUCUUCAUGAUGUGAACAGGUAACCAGGGACUCGUGCUGAUAAGCCCGAAUGCUAUAGCUAUACUCUCGCUGUGAAGACUCAGAAGAUCUUCUGUAGUACCCUGAACUUUGGCCAAUUGCGAAGUUCGAGUGUUGGAAUAGCAAUUGGAGCUAUCUUACAACUUUUGAGGGAUUGUCGAGAGGUUUUUGGCAAGUUACUUGAGCAAUCAAAUGGCCGGGAGAGCGAAAGUGCAUUGCAAAAUGCGAAAUGCUGAUUUUACACUGAGUACCGGUACAACUUUUGAGGGAUUGUCGAGAGGUUUUUGGCAAGUUACUUGAGCAAUCAAAUGGCCGGGAGAGCGAAAGUGCAUUGCAAAAUGCGAAAUGCUGAUUUUACACUGAGUACCGGUACAACUUUUGAGGGAUUGUCGAGAGGUUUUUGGCAAGUUACUUGAGCAAUCAAAUGGCCGGGAGAGCGAAAGUGCAUUGCAAAAUGCGAAAUGCUGAUUUUACACUGAGUACCGGUACAACUUUUGAGGGAUUGUCGAGAGGUUUUUGGCAAGUUACUUGAGCAAUCAAAUGGCCGGGAGAGCGAAAGUGCAUUGCAAAAUGCGAAAUGCUGAUUUUACACUGAGUACUGAUACCCCUCUACCUGAGUACCGGUACCCAGUGCAGCAGGUUGGAGUUGGUGCGGGUUUUAUGGUAAUUUCACUCCAAAGGCUAUCCUCUAAAGCCUCAGCUCAAUCUUAUCUGAGGCUUCUUGUGCUGAAGCGUGCAGGGAAGCAGGGUAAGUCUCUCUCUUUCUCUCUCUAAGAUUUUUUUUCAUUAUUUGAGUGGAAAUUGAUGGAUUUGAGGUUUUUCUCUCUUUUCCUUGUUAUGUUAGCUGGUUGGGAGCUUCUUGAUGUUAUGAGAACAUGUGAGAAGACUUGUUUUGUUGUGUUUCUCAGUUCUAACUUAGCGAGAAGCUAAGUUGAAGCUUUGUGAGGUAAGAAAGACAAUCUCUCUCUAGUUUGAUGCUAUAGUAGUAGAGUUUCAGCUUGUUGUUGCUCUUUGCUGCCAGUUGGUUGGGGAAGGUUUGUAGUAGCUGUAGAAGAGGUAUUUUGGGCUGUGGUUCUUCACUCCUAACUUAGUCGAACCUGAGUUGAAGCUGUACAAGGUGAAUUAGCGACUCCUCUUUCUAGCUUUCAUGUAUAGUAGGUGUAAUGAUAAAGUUUUGGGGUUAGCUCGCAGCAGGUGUGCGAACCACCUUGGCUGAGUUUUAGUGGCCCUUGUAGACUGGUUUUGAAGUUCUUCAACUUGAGUUGGAGCCGUGCAAGGUGAGCAACCUAACUUUUUGCUAGUUUGAAAAGAUUGGUGGAGUAUUAAUAAAGUUUAUGGUGUAUGUUUACAGCAGAAUUUGCAGCAGGGUAUUAGAUUUCAUGUGGCUGAGUCUUGGGAGCUUUCGAAGGCUGGUUUCCGUAUUCCAAUGUGAACCGAAGUGAGGAAUUAAGCCUUGAUACUAUACUAGGUGAGAUUCUAGCCUAAACUAUGUAAAUAUGUGAGGUUUUUAUGUAGAAGUUUGAGUUAAGCUCCUAGCUGAUUUUAGAAUCAUUACUAGGGUGCUUCGAGGCUUCGGAUUACCUUCGGUUGCAAAAUCAACGAGAAUCGUCGACUAAUUGGUGGGUUUGACCUUCCCGAAAUGGGUGAAUUCCUUCUAUGUCUUCUUUGACAUUAUGAAAGAAGAAUGGUUAUAUAUUCUUGAGAAUAUAGGCUUGAAUGAAUAUGUGUAUGCAUGAAACCUGUUUACUAGUUAUGAUUGAAUGAAAUCUCUAUGCAGUAGAGGAAAAAGGAUUUUGGAACUAACAUUUUCCAUGUGUAUUAUCUCAGAUUAGUAAAACUUGUGUAGACAAGUUAAACAUGGUAUCAUUGAUUGAGAAUCAAGACGAAGCUAUGAAUAGAACACUUACUGUAGUUUAACAACUAAGUGGAGAAUGGUUAUGAUAUUUAACCCUUGAGUCAUAUUGUCACGCCCUGCGACCGCCCGCCUAUUUGGCCGGGUCGCGGCGCCGCAACAGACCGCCGAACGGACAGGGUUUUCCCUGUACUGCGGACAGAGUCUCCCCUGUACGUUCAAGGCAUAGCAAUCAAUACAAUGUGCGAAGUUCCAACCAGGAACACAUUUCAAUCAAGAUUGCAUAAUGGAAGGUAUCAAACAACAUAACACAUCCUAUGUUAUUACAUGCAUUCACAUUCAUACAUAUUUACAUCACAAUUCUCAUUUGAUUCUUACAUUUGCUUUUACUUAACUUCCAAAUACAAUCCGAUUUAACAUGAUUAUUACAACUUGAUUCCUUUCAUUCUUUACAUCCCUAAGUAACCGACUCAGGGUACCGCUAUCUCUGGUCUCGGUGGUAGGGCGCUAACUAUGAUGCUAUGCCCUCGCCUCGCGCUGCCGCGCUGCUCACGUGUGAACCUGUAACACCCCAAAACAACAUGGGGUGAGAACCAACUCUAUGGUUCUCAGUGGGUACGGCCACCCAAGGGAAGAGCUCGACCAAUAGGUCCAAAAGAGGCAACAACAGGUUAGUUCAAUAAACAGAUAGAUAUAUAUCUUGAUUAUGCAACUAAUAAAACCAUGCUUUGCCUCACGAAUGCAAUAAUGCCAUGCUAUAUGCGAAUCAUGCAACUAUACAAUAGAAUAAAUGAUUUAACUUUCUAUCAUGCUAUCUAUAGCUUUUUCAUAAUUUAUACAUCUUGUCACUUUACAUCGUUGGUUAUUUGCUCCUAAACUUUUUCUCUACCUUAGCCAAGCUAACCACCCGACUCGGUCUCGAGUCAUCAUUUGCGGAAUACCGCAUACAUCCAGGCUCCUAAUGCAUACUUUCACAAAUUCACUUUGGCCUUUACCCAAUCUUUUCGGGGUUCAUCAAGUUCCCCCUAAGCUCACAUCUCACAUGUCCCAUCUACCGGGAUUAGCAUUAGGAAAUGCCCCGAGGGAUCCAUCCCGUCUACCGAGGAAGGCACAAGGCACUGUCACCCGAGGGAUCUUCGCCGGGCACUGUCACCCAUGGUGUCUAUACUCCGGAGUACACCGCCUGUAGAGGAGCGACCUCGCACAAGCCGGAACCGAUACAUGUGAGUACGAUCCCAUCCUCAAUUUGAGGAGGUAUAGCCAACUUGUUCCAUAUC